This 1101-nucleotide ribosomal RNA is filed under the name Triticum aestivum (bread wheat). RNAcentral describes it as "partial small subunit ribosomal RNA". The record is from RNAcentral. Lineage: Eukaryota; Viridiplantae; Streptophyta; Magnoliopsida; Poales; Poaceae.
AUGGCCGCGUCCUCCGCCGCAGCCUCCUCGAAGUCCGACCGCGCGGCCCUCCUCAAGGCCUUCGACGAGUCCCGCACCGGCGUCCGCGGCCUCGUCGAGUCCGGCGUCUCCACCGUCCCCGACCUCUUCGUCCACCCCGACCCCUACGCCUCCGUCCCGCUUGCUCCCCCGGGCAUCUCCAUCCCCGUCGUUGACCUUUCCCUCCCCGCGCACCUCGUAGCCGCCGCCACCGCGGCGGCCGCCCGCGACUGGGGCUUCUUCCACCUCGUCAACCACGAGGCCCUCGUCCCCUCCGGCCACCCCGCGAGGGCCCUCGCCGCGGUGUGCGCCUUCAACGAGCUCCCCGCCCUCGAGCGCGCCGCGCACUACGGCCGGGCCUUGUCCGGCGGGGUCAGCUACUCCUCGAACGUCGACCUGUUCCAGUCCCCCGCGGCGAGCUGGCGCGACACCGUCCAGGUGAUGUUCGGGCCUACGCCGCCCAACACCGAACGCAUACCGUCGGUGUGCCGCUCUGAAGUCAUCGAGUGGGAAGUGCAUGCCGCCGCGGUGGCCCGUGCCGUGAUGGCGCUGCUCUCCGAGGGGCUUGGGCUCGGGGGUGCGGCGCUGGAGGAGACCUCGUGCCUGGAGGGGAAGCUCAUGGUCUGCCAUUACUACCCGGUGUGCCCCGAGCCUGAGCGCACCAUGGGCUUAGUCCCGCACACCGACCCCGGCGUGCUCACCGUCCUUGCGCAGGACGGCGUUGGUGGUUUGCAGGUGAAGCACACCAAUGGGGACGGGGAGAGCUUCUGGGUGGACGUGAAGCCUGCACCGGGCGCGCUUGUGAUCAAUGUCGGGGACCUCUUGCAGAUAAUGUCAAAUGAUAAGUACAAGAGCGUCGAACACAGGGUGGUGAUGAAUUCACGUGAGGAAGCUAGAGUUUCAAUUGCUGUCUUCUUCAAUCCUGGAAAGCGAGGGGAAUCAGUUUUGUAUGGGCCGUUGCCAGGGCUGGUUUCUACAGAAAACCCACCAAAGUACAGGCGUUUCACGAUGUUUGAGUUUUUGGGGGCCUUCUUCAAACGUGACCUUGCCAGCAAAGCUCUACUUGAGCACUUCAAACUGUAA